AGAGUUUGAUUAUGGCUCAGGAUGAACGCUGGCGGCGUGCCUAACACAUGCAAGUCGAACGAAGCGCAUGCCUGGAACCCUCCGGGGGGAAGGGCAUGUGACUGAGUGGCGGACGGGUGAGUAACGCGUGGGCAACCUGCCCCGCACUGGGGGACAACAGCCGGAAACGGCUGCUAAUACCGCAUAUGCGCACAGCUUUGCAUGAAGCAGUGUGGAAAACUCCGGUGGUGCGGGAUGGGCCCGCGUCUGAUUAGCUGGUUGGCGGGGCAACGGCCCACCAAGGCGACGAUCAGUAGCCGGCCUGAGAGGGUGGACGGCCACAUUGGGACUGAGACACGGCCCAGACUCCUACGGGAGGCAGCAGUGGGGGAUAUUGCACAAUGGGGGGAACCCUGAUGCAGCGACGCCGCGUGAGCGAAGAAGUACCUCGGUAUGUAAAGCUCUAUCAGCAGGGAAGAAAAUGACGGUACCUGACUAAGAAGCCCCGGCUAAAUACGUGCCAGCAGCCGCGGUAAUACGUAUGGGGCAAGCGUUAUCCGGAUUUACUGGGUGUAAAGGGAGCGCAGGCGGCCUGCCAAGUCUGGUGUGAAA
This 591-nucleotide ribosomal RNA is filed under the name uncultured bacterium. RNAcentral's name for it is "bacterial SSU rRNA". It matches the Rfam family "Bacterial small subunit ribosomal RNA", at positions 8 to 599 of the family's 1533-position model. The record is from RNAcentral.